GUAGGUGGCAAGCGUUGUCCGGAAUUAUUGGGCGUAAAGCGCGCGCAGGUGGUUCUUUAAGUCUGAUGUGAAAGCCCCCGGGCUCAACCGGGGAGGGUCAUUGGAAACUGGGGAACUUGAGUGCAGGAGAGGAAAGUGGAAUUCCACGUGUAGCGGUGAAAUGCGUAGAUAUGUGGAGGAACACCAGUGGCGAAGGCGACUUUCUGGCCUGUAACUGACACUGAGGCGCGAAAGCGUGGGGAGCAAACAGGAUUAGAUACCCUGGUAGUCCACGCCGUAAACGAUGAGUGCUAAGUGUUGGGGGGUUUCUGCCCCUCAGUGCUGCAGCUAACGCAUUAAGCACUCCGCCUGGGGAGUACGGUCGCAAGACUG
RNAcentral lists this ribosomal RNA (372 nucleotides) under uncultured organism. Its description in RNAcentral is "partial 16S ribosomal RNA". It matches the Rfam family "Bacterial small subunit ribosomal RNA", at positions 527 to 896 of the family's 1533-position model. The record is from RNAcentral.